Molecule: non-coding RNA, 794 nt
Organism: Neolamprologus brichardi
Lineage: Eukaryota; Metazoa; Chordata; Actinopteri; Cichliformes; Cichlidae
Source: RefSeq, a predicted model, not a curated record
CGCACAGACAUGAACUCUUGUGUUUUUGGGGAGCGUGAGGAAGAUAUGAACUCUGAAUGUGCAGCUGCACAUUCAGCAAACCGACCGCGGGAUCGUAACCUUCGUGUGUUCUGGGCAGACGCUCUUCAGCUCCGAUCAGCACGUUUCAUGUGUGCGAGAACAGAUUUGAUCAUUUCUCUGCUGAGCAAUGUUUUCCAGAAUAAACAGACUUUGGUCUGCGAACCUUUGUUUGGACUUCAAGCACAUUCAAACAACUGUGAGCAGCUUGAAAAGGUUUACUGAAGGGCAGGAGAGAGGACGUUAGCAGUGACCAAAGUAAGGUGAAGUGUGACUGAGAGCGUGCACACAGGUGUAGAGCAGAUCUUCUCUACAUGUCCCUGGGCGAGCCCUCAAGUCUUCAGCCCAGUUACUCCUGGCUCAGCCUGGAUCUGGACUUAAAUCUAGGGGUGACCGUGCUUUUGAAUCUGUGGAACAACCUUCCCAUCGCUAUCCGUGUGUCAGACUCCGUUUUAUCUUUUAAAUCCUGUUUAAAAACUCAUUUAUUCAACAUAACUUUUCCAUCGAGUUUUAUAUUUGGUUCAAUUUCUUAUUUAUGUACUUUAUCUUUUAGCUAUGUAACUUUGUUCUUAUAUUCCCUUUUAUUGUUGUAUAAUUAGUGCCCUGAACCUGAUGACAUAUGUGGUACUUUGUUAAUAGUCUUUUAUUUAUUGUCUUAAUUUUCCUGUUUUAUUGUAAAGUCUUUGGUGAACCGCUGCUCUUUUAAAUGUGCUGUACAAAUAAAGUUGUGUUGUUCA